AUUUUACUGGAGUUGUAGUGGCAGGCUCACAGGCGUACUACAGUUGCUCGCCACCUCAACAAUGGCUUUAAUGAUGAGGGUACUUCAAUUGUCUCUACUCCUUGAUGUGGGCUGUCAAGUACAUGCUUACAGGAUCGGAUAUGCUGAGCCGGAGAUGCCUACGUAUGGGCUGCAGCAGCCUGCUAGCUACAAGCCACAGCAACCUCCUAGCUACAAGCCCCACCCCA
Gadus morhua (Atlantic cod) is the source of this 227-nucleotide long non-coding RNA. RefSeq lists it as uncharacterized. The record is from RefSeq and is a predicted model, not a curated record. NCBI's taxonomy places the organism in Eukaryota, Metazoa, Chordata, Actinopteri, Gadiformes, Gadidae. The transcript has 3 exons.